This 491-nucleotide ribosomal RNA is filed under the name uncultured bacterium. RNAcentral's name for it is "partial 16S ribosomal RNA". It matches the Rfam family "Bacterial small subunit ribosomal RNA", at positions 29 to 507 of the family's 1533-position model. The record is from RNAcentral.
AGUGAACGCUGGCGGUAGGCCUAACACAUGCAAGUCGAACGGCAGCACAGUAAGAGCUUGCUCUUACGGGUGGCGAGUGGCGGACGGGUGAGGAAUACAUCGGAAUCUACUUUUUCGUGGGGGAUAACGUAGGGAAACUUACGCUAAUACCGCAUACGACCUACGGGUGAAAGCAGGGGAUCUUCGGACCUUGCGCGAUUGAAUGAGCCGAUGUCGGAUUAGCUAGUUGGCGGGGUAAAGGCCCACCAAGGCGACGAUCCUAGCUGGUCUGAGAGGAUGAUCAGCCACACUGGAACUGAGACACGGUCCAGACUCCUACGGGAGGCAGCAGUGGGGAAUAUUGGACAAUGGGCGCAAGCCUGAUCCAGCCAUACCGCGUGGGUGAAGAAGGCCUUCGAGUUGUAAAGCCCUUUUGUUGGGAAAGAAAAGCAGCAGGUUAAUACCCCGCUGUUCUGACGGUACCCAAAGAAUAAGCACCGGCUAACUUCGUG